Molecule: ribosomal RNA, 253 nt
Filed under: uncultured bacterium
Lineage: Bacteria
Description: partial 16S ribosomal RNA
Rfam family: Bacterial small subunit ribosomal RNA
Source: RNAcentral
GACGAACCGUGCGAACGUUGUUCGGAAUCACUGGGCUUAAAGGGCGCGUAGGCGGGUGUGCAAGUCUGUGGUGAAAGCCUCCAGCUUAACUGGAGAAGUGCCAUGGAUACUGCACAUCUUGAGGAGGGUAGGGGCAUCUGGAACGGUCGGUGGAGCGGUGAAAUGCGUUGAUAUCGACCGGAACGCCGGUGGCGAAGGCGAGGUGCUGGACCCUUUCUGACGCUGAGGCGCGAAAGCCAGGGGAGCAAACGGG